GCAGUUGGACGGUCUGUCGCUUGCUCUCUCGUAGAGUAUGAGGAAAGUCCGGGCAACACAGAGCAUCCCGCUUGUUAAUAUGCAAGGUGUCGGUGACGGCAGGGGACACGUAGAAGAAAACAACCGCCCCGUUCAGGCGAGGUAAGGGUGAGAAGGUGGGGUAAGAGCCCACCGGUCAGGAUGGUGACAUCCUGAGCCGUGCGUUCCGGGAGUUGCAAGGUCAUGUAUACCGGUGUUUGAGGGUUGCUCGCCCGAGCCGGAGGGUAGACCGCUAUAGUCUGCCGGCAACGGUAGACACAGAUAAAUGACAGACGCUGUAGGAAACUGCAGUACAGAACCCGGCUUACAGGCCAACUGCUUUU
RNAcentral lists this RNase P RNA (362 nucleotides) under Bacteroidaceae bacterium. RNAcentral's name for it is "RNase P RNA component class A". It matches the Rfam family "Bacterial RNase P class A". From Rfam's summary of the family: Ribonuclease P (RNase P) is a ubiquitous endoribonuclease, found in archaea, bacteria and eukarya as well as chloroplasts and mitochondria. Its best characterised activity is the generation of mature 5'-ends of tRNAs by cleaving the 5'-leader elements of precursor-tRNAs. Cellular RNase Ps are ribonucleoproteins. The record is from RNAcentral. Lineage: Bacteria; Pseudomonadati; Bacteroidota; Bacteroidia; Bacteroidales; Bacteroidaceae.